RNAcentral lists this long non-coding RNA (710 nucleotides) under Gallus gallus (chicken). Lineage: Eukaryota; Metazoa; Chordata; Aves; Galliformes; Phasianidae. The record is from RNAcentral.
UUAACGUUAUGUGAGGCAGCAGCUAUCCCACAAGAACACCCGAUGGAGUUUCUGUACUUUCUCACAGAACGAUACCAUGGAGUGCAACUGCUCUACCCACCAGCCACUCCCCUCCCCAAAUUUGCUAAGUGCUUCACCUGUGUGCCAUUCCUACAGCGGUCACACAGGCCUGGGUGAUGGGAGCAAAGCAGUGGCUGCUCUGCUUAUCUCCCUGAAGUGCCUGCAGGGCAGCCGGCUGCAAUCACUUCCACUCUUACUCCCUCUACAGUGUGGGGCAUGCAGCAUAAACCAAGUUCUAAUCUCUUAAUGAAGGGCUCUCCAGUGCUCUGGAAAUGCCAGGAGAUCGGCAGUAACCACAUCCCAGUCACUUUCUUCCUUCUACUGUCCCAAAAUGUAAUUACUCGGGUAAUGCAUGCAUCAUAGACAAUGAGCCUUUCCCAGUGUCCCCUCAGAACACUUCCCACCCCUGCCCCCUUCUGUUCCCUCUCAACAGAAAAAUGUAUUCACAUAUACAAGCUUAGUCAUAUACGUGUUGAUUUUACCUUCUGUACUGGGUUUUUUCAUUUCUUCCACCCUUAUGAGUUUCUUCCUGACUCUGCGAGUAGAAUUUACCAGCUUGUGCAAUCUCUUAAACUUCACCGACUCCUCUGUUUCAUCAUCGGAUUGUUCUCUUGAAUUACAAUUGGAAGACCCAUCAAAUGUUGAGUAAG